Molecule: long non-coding RNA, 436 nt
Organism: Drosophila elegans
Lineage: Eukaryota; Metazoa; Arthropoda; Insecta; Diptera; Drosophilidae
Exons: 3
Source: RefSeq, a predicted model, not a curated record
UCUGUUUCUUUAAUUUAUUUGUUUACCUUUUCUGGGUCGGUAUAUUAUAUCAGACGUACACACAUAUUUCAACAAAAAAAUAAAUAAAUAAAUGAAUGAAAACCGAUGCGGGUCAUUAUCAAUCACUUCUUACUAAACUUGUCAAUGAUAUUGUUGGCCACAAUAUAUGUAUAUUAAGUUACUUUAACGCUAAAUUUUGGCCUGCAGCUGGUAGUACAUAAGCCGUAUUCUUAUUGGCUGCUGCCUAUUGUUUACAAGAACGCGUGAACACACACAUACACAUUGGACACACUCAGGCUCACGUACGCCGCACACAACUAAAGAGGAGGCUUAUUGUUUGUGUGUGUGUGGGAACAUACAACGCAGGUGUGAGCUGGUCUGUGAUCAGCUGUCUGGACUUUUUUGCAAAACCGACUCCAAACGAACACGAAACGCA